RNAcentral lists this ribosomal RNA (323 nucleotides) under uncultured bacterium. RNAcentral's name for it is "bacterial SSU rRNA". It matches the Rfam family "Bacterial small subunit ribosomal RNA", at positions 477 to 793 of the family's 1533-position model. The record is from RNAcentral.
AGCAACAGAAGAAGCACCGGCUAACUCCGUGCCAGCAGCCGCGGUAAGUACGGAGGGUGCGAGCGUUAAUCGGAAUUACUGGGCGUAAAAGCGCAUGCAGGUGGUUUGUUAAGUCAGAUGUGAAAAAGCCCGGGCUCAAACCUCGGAAACUGCAUUUGAAAAACUGGCAGACUAGAGUACUGUAGAGGGGGUAGAAUUUCAGGUGUAGCGGUGAAAAUGCGUAGAGAUCUGAAGGAAUACCGGUGGCGAAGGCGGCCCCUGGACAGAUACUGACACUCAGAUGCGAAAGCGUGGGGAGCAAACAGGAUUAGAUACCCUGGUAG